This 400-nucleotide ribosomal RNA is filed under the name uncultured bacterium. Its description in RNAcentral is "bacterial SSU rRNA". It matches the Rfam family "Bacterial small subunit ribosomal RNA", at positions 355 to 747 of the family's 1533-position model. The record is from RNAcentral.
UAGGGAAUCUUCCGCAAUGGACGAAAGUCUGACGGAGCAACGCCGCGUGAACGAUGAAGGUCUUCGGAUCGUAAAGUUCUGUUAUCAGGGAAGAACAAGUAUCGGAGUAACUGCCGGUACCUUGACGGUACCUGACCAGAAAGCCACGGCUAACUACGUGCCAGCAGCCGCGGUAAUACGUAGGUGGCAAGCGUUGUUCGGAAUUAUUGGGCGUAAAGCGCGCGCAGGCGGUUUCUUAAGUCUGAUGUGAAAUCUCGUGGCUCAACCACGAGCGGCCAUUGGAAACUGGGAAACUUGAGUGCAGAAGAGAAGAGCGGAAUUCCACGUGUAGCGGUGAAAUGCGUAGAGAUGUGGAGGAACACCAGUGGCGAAGGCGGCUCUUUGGUCUGUAACUGACGCU